RNAcentral lists this RNase P RNA (324 nucleotides) under uncultured Faecalibacterium sp. Its description in RNAcentral is "Bacterial RNase P class A". It matches the Rfam family "Bacterial RNase P class A". Rfam says of the family: Ribonuclease P (RNase P) is a ubiquitous endoribonuclease, found in archaea, bacteria and eukarya as well as chloroplasts and mitochondria. The record is from RNAcentral. Lineage: Bacteria; Bacillati; Bacillota; Clostridia; Eubacteriales; Oscillospiraceae.
ACGGCGGCGGGGCGGCUUUGACCGCUCUGAGGAAAGUCCGGGCUUCACAGAGCAACGGUAACUGCUAACGGCAGCCGAGGGCGACCUUAGGGAAAGUGCAACAGAAAACAUACCGCCGCGCUUUGCGCGGUAAGGCUGAAACGGCGAGGCAAGAGCUCACCAGCGCAUGGGUGACCAUGCGGCUUUGUAAACCCUACCGGAAGCAACACCUAGCGGGGCAUACAGCGCUGCUCGCGCGCCUCCACGGUGGCACGAGCCUGUCAGCAAUGGCAGGCCUAGACAGAUCGUCGUUUAAUACAGAACCCGGCUUACGGUCCAUCUCGU